UACGAAGGGGGCUAGCGUUGCUCGGAAUCACGGGGCGUAAAGGGUGCGUAGGCGGGGCUUUAAGGGAGGGGGGAAAUCCUGGAGCUCAACUCCAGAACUGCCUUUGAUACUGAGGAUCUUGAGUUCGGGAGAGGUGAGUGGAACUGCGAGUGUAGAGGUGAAAUUCGUAGAUAUUCGCAAGAACACCAGUGGCGAAGGCGGCUCACUGGCCCGAUACUGACGCUGAGGCACGAAAGCGUGGGGAGCAAACAGG
This 253-nucleotide ribosomal RNA is filed under the name uncultured bacterium. RNAcentral describes it as "partial 16S ribosomal RNA". It matches the Rfam family "Bacterial small subunit ribosomal RNA", at positions 524 to 776 of the family's 1533-position model. The record is from RNAcentral.